This 429-nucleotide ribosomal RNA is filed under the name Bacteroidota bacterium. Its description in RNAcentral is "Bacteroidetes bacterium partial 16S ribosomal RNA". It matches the Rfam family "Bacterial small subunit ribosomal RNA", at positions 355 to 776 of the family's 1533-position model. Lineage: Bacteria; Pseudomonadati; Bacteroidota. The record is from RNAcentral.
UAGGGAAUCUUCCGCAAUGGACGCAAGUCUGACGGAGCAACGCCGCGUGAGUGAAGAAGGAUUUCGGUUCGUAAAACUCUGUUGUUAGAGAAGAACAGCGCAUAGAGUAACUGUUAUGCGUGUGACGGUAUCUAACCAGAAAGCCACGGCUAACUACGUGCCAGCCGCCGCGGUAAUACGUAGGUGGCAAGCGUUGUCCGGAUUUAUUGGGCGUAAAGCGAGCGCAGGCGGUCAAUUAAGUCUGAUGUGAAAGCCCCCGGCUCAACCGGGGAGGGUCAUUGGAAACUGGUUGACUUGAGUGCAGAAGAGGAGAGUGGAAUUCCAUGUGUAGCGGUGAAAUGCGUAGAUAUAUGGAGGAACACCAGUGGCGAAGGCGACUCUCUGGUCUGUAACUGACGCUGAGGUUCGAAAGCGUGGGUAGCAAACAGG